UACGUAGGGUGCGAGCGUUGUCCGGAAUUAUUGGGCGUAAAGGGCUCGUAGGCGGUUUGUCGCGUCGGGAGUGAAAACACCGGGCUUAACUCGGUGCUUGCUUUCGAUACGGGCAGACUUGAGGCAUGCAGGGGAGAACGGAAUUCCUGGUGUAGCGGUGAAAUGCGCAGAUAUCAGGAGGAACACCGGUGGCGAAGGCGGUUCUCUGGAACGGUACUGACGCUGAGACGCGAAAGCGUGGGGAGCGAACAGG
This 253-nucleotide ribosomal RNA is filed under the name uncultured bacterium. RNAcentral describes it as "partial 16S ribosomal RNA". It matches the Rfam family "Bacterial small subunit ribosomal RNA", at positions 524 to 776 of the family's 1533-position model. The record is from RNAcentral.